CCUACGGGAGGCAGCAGUGGGGAAUAUUGGACAAUGGGGGGAACCCUGAUCCAGCGACGCCGCGUGAGUGAAGAAGUAUUUCGGUAUGUAAAGCUCUAUCAGCAGGGAAGAAAGAAAUGACGGUACCUGACUACGAAGCCCCGGCUAACUACGUGCCAGCAGCCGCGGUAAUACGUAGGGGGCAAGCGUUAUCCGGAUGUACUGGGUGUAAAGGGAGCGUAGACGGCGAUGCAAGUCUGAAGUGAAAGGCGGGGGCCCAACCCCCGGACUGCUUUGGAAACUGUAUGGCUGGAGUGCAGGAGAGGUAAGUGGAAUUCCUAGUGUAGCGGUGAAAUGCGUAGAUAUUAGGAGGAACACCAGUGGCGAAGGCGGCUUACUGGACUGUAACUGACGUUGAGGCUCGAAAGCGUGGGGAGCAAACAGGAUUAGAUACCCUAGUAGUC
RNAcentral lists this ribosomal RNA (443 nucleotides) under uncultured bacterium. RNAcentral describes it as "partial 16S ribosomal RNA". It matches the Rfam family "Bacterial small subunit ribosomal RNA", at positions 338 to 795 of the family's 1533-position model. The record is from RNAcentral.